Molecule: ribosomal RNA, 1113 nt
Filed under: uncultured bacterium
Lineage: Bacteria
Description: bacterial SSU rRNA
Rfam family: Bacterial small subunit ribosomal RNA
Source: RNAcentral
GGAAANAAAGGGCCUUUCGGGGUUGUUAAAGUAACUUUUCAGCAGUGAGGAAGGUGGGGUAUGUUAAUUAGCAUAUUCAUUUGACGUUAGCUGCAGAAGAAGCCCCGGCUAACUCCGUGCCAGCAGCCGCGGUAAUACGGAGGGUGCGAGCGUUAAUCGGAAUUACUGGGCGUAAAGCGCAUGCAGGUGGUUUGUUAAGUCAGAUGUGAAAGCCCGGGGCUCAACCUCGGAAUUGCAUUUGAAACUGGCAAACUAGAGUACUGUAGAGGGGGGUAGAAUUUCAGGUGUAGCGGUGAAAUGCGUAGAGAUCUGAAGGAAUACCGGUGGCGAAGGCGGCCCCCUGGACAGAUACUGACACUCAGGUGCGAAAGCGUGGGGAGCAAACAGGAUUAGAUACCCUGGUAGUCCACGCCGUAAACGAUGUCUACUUGGAGGUUGUGGCCUUGAGCCGUGGCUUUCGGAGCUAACGCGUUAAGUAGACCGCCUGGGGAGUACGGUCGCAAGAUUAAAACUCAAAUGAAUUGACGGGGGCCCGCACAAGCGGUGGAGCAUGUGGUUUAAUUCGAUGCAACGCGAAGAACCUUACCUACUCUUGACAUCUACAGAAGCCAGCGGAGACGCAGGUGUGCCUUCGGGAACUGUAAGACAGGUGCUGCAUGGCUGUCGUCAGCUCGUGUUGUGAAAUGUUGGGUUAAGUCCCGCAACGAGCGCAACCCUUAUCCUUGUUUGCCAGCACUUCGGGUGGGAACUCCAGGGAGACUGCCGGUGAUAAACCGGAGGAAGGUGGGGACGACGUCAAGUCAUCAUGGCCCUUACGAGUAGGGCUACACACGUGCUACAAUGGCGCAUACAGAGGGCGGCCAACUUGCGAAAGUGAGCGAAUCCCAAAAAGUGCGUCGUAGUCCGGAUUGGAGUCUGCAACUCGACUCCAUGAAGUCGGAAUCGCUAGUAAUCGUGGAUCAGAAUGCCACGGUGAAUACGUUCCCGGGCCUUGUACACACCGCCCGUCACACCAUGGGAGUGGGCUGCAAAAGAAGUGGGUAGUUUAACCUUCGGGAGGACGCUCACCACUUUGUGGUUCAUGACUGGGGUGAAGUCGUAACAAGGUAACCG